This 72-nucleotide transfer RNA is filed under the name Hypoxylon sp. FL0890. RNAcentral describes it as "tRNA-Ala". It matches the Rfam family "tRNA". From Rfam's summary of the family: Transfer RNA (tRNA) molecules are approximately 80 nucleotides in length. Their secondary structure includes four short double-helical elements and three loops (D, anti-codon, and T loops). Further hydrogen bonds mediate the characteristic L-shaped molecular structure. tRNAs have two regions of fundamental functional importance: the anti-codon, which is responsible for specific mRNA codon recognition, and the 3' end, to which the tRNAs corresponding amino acid is attached (by aminoacyl-tRNA synthetases). tRNAs cope with the degeneracy of the genetic code in two manners: having more than one tRNA (with a specific anti-codon) for a particular amino acid; and 'wobble' base-pairing, i.e. permitting non-standard base-pairing at the 3rd anti-codon position. Lineage: Eukaryota; Fungi; Ascomycota; Sordariomycetes; Xylariales; Hypoxylaceae. The record is from RNAcentral.
GGGCAUGUAGUUCAGUGGCAGAAUCCUCGUUUAGCAUACGAGAGGUCCAGGGUUCGAUUCCCUGCAUGUCCA